GCGUGAGACUAAGUUCAGAGCCAGCGAGAUACAGAAGGAUGAAGAGUGGGACAAAGGGAAGAGUGAGUACAAAAAGGGGGGAUGGAGGAAAAAAUAUGGAAGCAGCCAGUGACUGCUGGAAGCAGGGCGCCCACGCCCCGUGCAACAUGUGCGGGUGGUGGAGACAGGUAUUUAACGGUCAGCGUCCCGCAGCUGCGCCCUUCCCUCCAAGACGCGCUCCGUCUCCUCGUCGCCGACACUCAGCCCAACGCGUGGCAACGACGACAGCGCCAUCUCGCCCGACCGGACCCUGCACGGUCGUUACCAGCGCCCUCCCACAUCAGGGUCUUCCCUUCUCUCUCUCUCUUUCUCGACCCUCCCCGCCCCCUGACCACUCUCCUUCCGAAGGGAGGAUCUCUUGCCGUCUUUCAUCGCCAGCGCCACCGCUGCUGCUUCUUCUACCUCCCGAACGAACCUGCCACUGCUCUUCUCCAGAGGAACAAGGGAGAGUUUAAAGAGAACUUUAACAAAGAUUUCAUUACCGCUAAGAGAGAAAAAAAAAAAGAACACAGUUAACAUAGUUCUGUCGUUUGACCAAGACACGAGGAAGCUUUGCAGGCAAUCAUUGAAGUCCUGAAGACGUCGAGGACACGCUAGUCACUGGACAAAAGCUGGUCAGGAAGAAAGAAGGGUAGCGAGGAAACAGACGGGUGGCUGUAGUAGUUUAGUGCUGGAGACAGAGACGUCACCGUGCCACAUCGAGGCUCUCUUCUCUUGGGAUACUUGCUGUUGUCCGAAGACCGUUUCUCAGGAGUUGGUGCUGGUCUAGGUGCAACCCUCAUCCAAUGGAGUUGACGUCCCGACGCCUGGCAGCGGGUGCAGUGCUACUUGUGGGUCUCCUGGCCGCUACAGUGACGUCAGCUCCGGUGCCGGAGGAUCUGUUGCAGGCGUACACACUCUCGCAGGCCCUCAGCCCUCGCCAGAUCUCCACUGUCCUCAGGCUUCUCCACUUCAUCGAAGCAGACGUCGACGUGAAUAAUGCAGACAUACGUGACGACACGUUGGGAACCGGAUGGACGACGGUGACUAUGGAAACAGUAGCUUAAAGAAAAGAGGUUUCGGCAUCGCAGGUCUAGACAACGUGGACAUGAUCACCAGCACUUUGGACAGGUCCAGGUCGUUGUCACGCUCACGGCAGACUCCUGUGAUGUCACCGGGCUUGUCCAUCGAGCAGCUGCGAGAGCUCAUGCGCAAAGCUGGCUGAACGUCACGGCGCAUGCGUGAGACUGCGCACGACCUCCACAGCGAUGCCGGGGCCGAUAAAUGACACUUCCGUUACUUCUAUGCCUACGGGCUGUGCGAAUGGCGAGUUAUUGAAAUUGUGUACAAAAUAAGGAUAAUAAUAGUAAGAAUAAUAAAAGAGUGUUGGCGUAA
This is a long non-coding RNA of Pomacea canaliculata, 1413 nucleotides long. RefSeq lists it as uncharacterized. The transcript is spliced from 4 exons. The record is from RefSeq and is a predicted model, not a curated record. NCBI's taxonomy places the organism in Eukaryota, Metazoa, Mollusca, Gastropoda, Architaenioglossa, Ampullariidae.